AGUCGAACGGUAACAGGUUAAGCUGACGAGUGGCGAACGGGUGAGUAAUGUAUCGGAACGUGCCCAGUCGUGGGGGAUAACUGCUCGAAAGAGCAGCUAAUACCGCAUACGACCUGAGGGUGAAAGCGGGGGAUCGCAAGACCUCGCGCGAUUGGAGCGGCCGAUAUCAGAUUAGGUAGUUGGUGAGGUAAAGGCUCACCAAGCCGACGAUCUGUAGCUGGUCUGAGAGGACGACCAGCCACACUGGGACUGAGACACGGCCCAGACUCCUACGGGAGGCAGCAGUGGGGAAUUUUGGACAAUGGGCGCAAGCCUGAUCCAGCCAUGCCGCGUGCGGGAAGAAGGCCUUCGGGUUGUAAACCGCUUUUGUCAGGGAAGAAAAGGUUCUGGCUAAUACCUGGGACUCAUGACGGUACCUGAAGAAUAAGCACCGGCUAACUACGUGCCAGCAGCCGCGGUAAUACGUAGGGUGCAAGCGUUAAUCGGAAUUACUGGGCGUAAAGCGUGCGC
This 510-nucleotide ribosomal RNA is filed under the name uncultured Roseateles sp. Its description in RNAcentral is "bacterial SSU rRNA". It matches the Rfam family "Bacterial small subunit ribosomal RNA", at positions 60 to 572 of the family's 1533-position model. Lineage: Bacteria; Pseudomonadati; Pseudomonadota; Betaproteobacteria; Burkholderiales; Sphaerotilaceae. The record is from RNAcentral.